GACUGAACUGUACCAAAAUAUACAUUUUUACAACCUUGAGGCUCAAAUGGUAAGUUUAAUUAUAGACAUUUAAUACACUAAAUUAUAUUUAAUUCCCUAAAUGUUUGAGCAAUUUCUCGGUAUAAGUGAUGAAAGUCUGCAAGAGGUGCAGUCAGUAAGAAACCUGGCUGCUGCACCAGACCCUGCGGAAACAUCUCAAGAGAUCUGUCUUUCUUCAUUCUCUUUGUCCGUCUCAGGUCUAGUGAGUUUCUGGAAUCAAGAAUAGGUUACCUGUCUCCAGAUGCUCUCCUGAAAGUUAAAAAAUAUUUUCAAAAAUCUUUGAAAAGUCCCUUAUCCAAACACACUUCAGAGUGAAUUCAUUCAGCAAAUGCCUUAAAAAAUAAUUCUUUCCGAAAACAGGGUAUCUCCUGAGAGUGACAUUUACAAAGAGCAGCAUGGGGCUUAUCAGAGUGGUGCAGAGACAAACUUGGCCACAACAGAAUGGCACUGGGUUAUGUAAAAGGAAGAAGGACCCAGUGAGUAAUGUUGAAGUCAGAUGGGGGAGCAGAGCAGAACACAGGGACUUAGGGCAGCUUUGUCUAAGGAGGCCUCGUGCUAGGGUUCCUCAAAGUGUAGCUCUUCACUGCUACUUGAAUAAAGGCACUCAUGUCUCAAUAAACGUCCCCUCCAAGCUCUCCUUUUGUGAAAGAGAUCUGUAAAUAAUGGCUUCGAUAUCUGUUAGGAAAUACGGUUUUCUCUCAGGCUGAAAUUCUAUACAAAAAGAUUUUUGUGGUCAUUACUGAUUUCACUCUUUAUAAAGGCUAAAUUUUAGGUCCCCCCCACCCCUCCCCGCCCAUGGCAAAGCAGUGAGCAGCAGCAACUCAGCUUCUUUCUCCAGGACAAAGUGUCCAGAGAGAGUGGCAAAGAAUCGCUUGGGGAGGAACUGAAGUGAGAGGAGGGAACUGACAGGAGAAGAUAACAGGAGUAGGAGAUACAGGAGAUACAGAAGGGACAAAUCACACCGCGGAGGAGAGACCCCAGCUGGGAGGCUAAGGGAAACUAACAACUCUUUUGCUUACAGAGAAUCGGAGAACUGCGUUGGGACAGAAAGAAUCACACUCAUAGGAAUCAGCAAGAAAGCGCAGGGCGCUGCUUCCAGAGCUGCUUCCGGCGUCAACAGCUGGUGGGUGACCUCGACCCGGGGCGCUGGCGGGGCCCCACUGCGGGAAGGGCCGAGUGUCCGAACCUGGGUCCCAGAGCAGCCCGCGGCUGCUUCGUGCUGCAAGUUCCCAGAGCGGAGGAGGGAAGGGCGGCCCUGGGAGACCGCCAGCAGCUGGAGAGCGGACUGGGCGUCCUGCCGAGGGCCAGGGGCUGGAGACCGCCCAGCUGCUCCUGCACCAGGGCCGGAAGCGCACCCCGGGGGGCUGUGCUCACACAGGCAGAUCGCCACCCUCAGCGCGGAAGACUUCCGGCGUGAGCAGCGACAAGGCCUGGCCUGAGCUCUGCUCCUUAGCUCUAGGCUGAGGAAGAGCCACGCGUCCCAACAAGCUAGGCUGCUUCUCCACCUUCCCCAUGGUGAGAUACAAACUGACAGACCAUCCUUAGCUUGGACGAGUGGGCAGAGAAGCGAUGCUGUCACCAGAGAAGAACACAUCAAACUGAAAAGAAUCAUGCAAAUUCUGGCCCCAGGAGCUCAAGGUCCAGUUUCUUUUGGCAAGGAGGGAAGAGAGCUCAGAAUGGCCAGGAGAUGAACCAGCAUGGGGAUUCCCUUGUCUGCGGCCUCUCCGCAAUCCUUACUGCUCUUCCCUACAAGCCUUUGCAUACCAGAAUGCUGGGAGAUAGGGACUUGAGGCAAAAAGAGCCCCACCACCCCCGGUUUUUUUUUGGUCCCAGGGAUCAGACUAGGGUCCUUGUGCUUGUGGGGCAGGCAGCGGCACCACUGAGCUAAAUCCCCGGCCCUGGAGCUAGCUUUUUAAAAAUCCUUUUCUUUUCACCAAAAUUUAUCUCACAUGUUUUUAUCUGGGGGAGUAAUGGGCAGUACAGACCUUAGCCUCCCACAACAAGAAUGCAAAUCUUCUUAAUAUGUUUUAAAUUCCUACUGACACUCUGCAGUAUGAAACCUUAUCCCUGCCAUCUACUUUUCUACUUGAAGAAAAAUUGGGAUGUAAAUUGAAAUAUAGGUAAAAGAUGAGAAUAUAUGAUUAGAAUUACCCCUUGCCAAAAAUUGGUGCUAGCUCAAGCCCCAGUAAGAUUUCUAUAGUUUUACAAUUACAGCUUGUUUAAACUUCUUUCCCAACUCUUCUAUUUCAGAUAUCCCUAAUGUCUGGAUAGGCAGACAUUUCAGUAGGUAUUUGUCUUUUUCCACUUUAAAAACUCAUUUGGAAGAACAUAUCUUGUUUCAUUAUUUUCCCUCCAAAUUAGGAUUUCAGCUACAUUAAAAGCUUUAGUUCCUUCUCCUUCUUCUAAGCAUUUUGUUAUACAUUAAAAUUAUAAUUUGCAGAAAUACUAUCUUUCGCUAAAAACAAAACCUAUAACAAAGAGAAUGAAGCAGAGUGAAACCAUGUUUCUUUUUAUUCCCACCAGGUUUAACACACUAUACUUAGUGUGCCUACACUAUUGCUUAAAAUAACUUCCAAAGGUUUUGAACCACUGAAAUUGGAGCAUUCUAAAAGAAAGUGAGCUGUCAGCGGGGGUGGGGGACCAUAUUAGAAAACCCAUCUUAGGUGAAUCCCUCUUUAGUAGUUAUCUAAUAGCCUCCUAGAUUAAAUAAGCACUUUCUUUUAUGCCUGAAUCACGUCUAUUACAUAAUUACUUUCUUUUCAAGCCAGUGAAAGAAACAGAAAGAAAAGCUAUAUAAAGAUUACAAUUAAUAGCGAUAGGCAGUUUUCCACAAAACAAAAUCUAUAUUGUGAGUUGUAUAAUCAGUACCUCAGCAACUUUAAUUUUCUCCUCUACAAUUAUGGCUAAGUAAAGUCAGAGAUAGGACUUCUUUAUCUUUUUUUUUCUUUUUAUAAAGAUAUCAUAUAUUAUGCAUUGUAGAAAUGACAAAAAUACAAAUAAACAACUAGAAGAAAAUAAAAACUACUUACAUGGCAGAAAUAGAUUUCAGAAUAUGCAUAAUUCCCUUCUCCCUUAUGGAAAAAAGCCCCAGCUUUUCUGACAGGUUCAGGGUCCCCUAGAUAGUGAUUAUUUCCCUGUCUCUCGUGAAGCUGGGAAUGAUCUUGUGAUUAAAUUCUGGUCAGUGAGGUUAGCUAGAAGAAAAGCAUACUUUUCCCUUCUCAUUCACUCUUUUUUGUGCCUCUUCCUUAAAGAGUCAUAGUUGUACAGUAGGAUAAAAGAAAUAAAUACAGGUAGAAAGUAGACAAAGAAAAUCCUAAUUUUACAGUUAUACUUUUGAGAACACUGAAGCUUCAUUCAGGAUAUAAAGUUAUCCAAGGCUACAAUGCUGUUUUUCUCUUCCAAGAAACUCACUCCUAAAUUCCUAAAAGUAUUCAAGAUACAAGAAGAUUAUAAAUUUGGCCUCAUUAUUUUUACCUAUAAAUGGAACCUGUGCAUUUUCUGUGAUACUGAGAUGGGAGACUGGACAUGACCUGUCCCCUGACGGAGAUCCAGAACACCGAGCAGAAUAACAAACCCUGCUCCCAGGACUAGAAAGCACUGUCUUCGAUUCUUCUUCUCCACCUGGUACAAAACUAAAUGGGCCUUUGGUAGGCUUAGAUCUGAUGUCAGGCCAAGUGAACUUCUGAUAUGACAACUGUCCCAAGUGCUUUGUUUGCAAUGGGAGAGAAGCAGUUUAGAAAGAGGAGAUACAACCGCUACUUGCCUCGAAAGUGCAAGGUCCCAAGUUCGAUCCCCAGUACCAAAACAAGAGCCCUCCCAUUAACCGUGUGGUCCUGUGAGCUUUCUCAGCUGGCUACUGACACUUUGCACAGUGUACUUUUUGGUCACUUCUCGGUGGCCUGUUCUCACUAUGCAGAAUGUAUUUCUAUUCCACCCUCAAUAAAUGGAGAGCCUCACUACCUUU
This is a long non-coding RNA of Heterocephalus glaber (naked mole-rat), 4003 nucleotides long. RefSeq lists it as uncharacterized. Lineage: Eukaryota; Metazoa; Chordata; Mammalia; Rodentia; Bathyergidae. The record is from RefSeq and is a predicted model, not a curated record.